Molecule: ribosomal RNA, 473 nt
Filed under: uncultured bacterium
Lineage: Bacteria
Description: bacterial SSU rRNA
Rfam family: Bacterial small subunit ribosomal RNA
Source: RNAcentral
AACGAACGCUGGCGGCGUGGAUAAGACAUGCAGGUCGAACGGAAAGCGAAAUUUAUUUUACUUUUAGUGGCGCACGGGUGAGUAACACGUGAGCAACCUGCCCCUUAGACAGGGAUAGCCCCGGGAAACUGGGAUUAAUACCUGAUAGACUCGCAAGAGUAAAGCAGCAAUGCGCUUAGGGAAGGGCUCGCGGCCUAUUAGUUAGUUGGUGAGGUAACGGCUCACCAAGGCGAUGACGGGUAGCCGGUCUGAGAGGAUGUCCGGCCACACUGGAACUGAGACACGGUCCAGACACCUACGGGUGGCAGCAGUCGAGAAUCAUUCACAAUGGGGGAAACCCUGAUGGUGCGACGCCGCGUGAGGGAAGAAGGUCUUCGGAUUGUAAACCUCUGUCAUGUGGGAGCAAGACGAAAGUUUGAUAGUACCACAAGAGGAAGAGACGGCUAACUCUGUGCCAGCAGCCGCGGUAAUAC